Bos indicus x Bos taurus (hybrid cattle) is the source of this 1285-nucleotide long non-coding RNA. The record is from Ensembl. Lineage: Eukaryota; Metazoa; Chordata; Mammalia; Artiodactyla; Bovidae.
UAAUGGAUUUCACUGGGUUCAUUUGGGAGCCCUUUCUUCUUAGUGGCUUCUUUUAUCAAUUAAUUUAUGUAUUCAAUAAACAUUGAACACUGUUCCAGUUAUCUAUUGCUGUGUAAUAAGCUACCCUAAAACCUAGUGACUUAGUGCAAUAAUUUUUUAUUACCACAUGUAGUUCUUAAUGUUGAUGGGCUCAGCUGGGCAGUUCUUUCUUGAGUCCCACAUACAGUUGUGGUCAGAUGGUAGGAGAGGCCAGAGCCACCUUCACUCUGCUCCUGUUACUGGGCUCGUCAGGCCUCUCUCUCUUCCCCCACAUGAUUAGUUUGGGCAUCCUCAGAGCUUGUUGAUCUUUUGGUAAUCAACCUGCUUCCCUUGUGACCAACUUUGUCCAACACGUGUAUUCUGAAAAACUUCAUGUGGAAGUUGCCAAUCCUCUCUGACCUAGCCCUAGAAGUCAUCUUCUCUCCUCUAUUUGUCAAAGUGGUCACCGGACUUGACAAUCUACUUCUUGGACUCCAAGAGUUGGAGAUGGAGAUUCCACCUCACAAUGGUGGAAUGUCUUGAACCUUCAAAGAUGACCACCUAAGAUGACAGUGAUCACCUCAAUACCAAGUUACCUCUGGCACCUGCUAUGUGACAAGCCUAUGGGUCCCAUGGGAACAGAAAGUUUUGAGGGUGUUUACUGUUUGUGCAAGAUGACUGGUUGGGUAAAGAAGUUCAAAGUUUAUUAUCUGCAGAACAAAUAAAGCCUGGGCAAAGGUAACUGAAGUGAAUGUCUCCCACCUUGUCCCUUGAGCCUGUCUAAGGGGAUGUUUGCGCCAAAGAUUGCAUAACUGAGCACCUAAACUAUGCAAGUCAAAUGGAGAGGAGGUGCAUUUUAGACUCCUACUGGUUAAAAAAGUCACUGUCUUUUAUUUUUCUUGGUUUGAGAGGCAGUUGAUGAUGGUGCCUAUAUGAAAAUCAUUUUAGAAAUCUAUUUUUGGAUAAGCUAUUUCUAACUAUCUGGGGUUACUUGUCAGAUAGCAUCUGAGUGGCUGAAUUAGAAUGUUUCCUUCUCCCCCAAAUGUAGACAGAACAUAGUGCUAGGUAAAUACUAAAAUAAGUGUACUAAUUCAAGGUUCAUCUGGACUUUUAUUGUUGGUGCUGAUUAAUGACAUCAAGGAUAGCUAGACUGUUCUUGUGAUUAGUCCAUAGUAAUUACUGACAAGUAUUCAGAAUGGUCAAACAUAUGAUGUGAAGCUCAGCUAUCUUUUAGAAGAUAACAGCCUAUGCAUAAAUGUUGAUAGGA